RNAcentral lists this ribosomal RNA (819 nucleotides) under uncultured eukaryote. RNAcentral's name for it is "SSU rRNA". It matches the Rfam family "Eukaryotic small subunit ribosomal RNA", at positions 629 to 1426 of the family's 1831-position model. The record is from RNAcentral.
CGGUGUUUAACUGGCGUGAUGUGGGACGUCCUACCGGUGGGCUUAGCCUCGCGAGGGGCGGCCCAACUAAUAUCCCGUCGCGGUGCUCUUUACUGAGUGUCGAGUCGGGCCGGUACGUUUACUUUGAACAAAUUAGAGUGCUUAAAGCAGGCUAUCCUCGCCUGAAUACUGCGUGCAUGGAAUAAUGGAAUAGGACCUCGGUUCUAUUUUGUUGGUUUUCGGAACCCCGAGGUAAUGAUUAAUAGGGACAGAUGGGGGCAUUCGUAUUGCGACGUUAGAGGUGAAAUUCUUGGAUCGUCGCAAGACGGACAGAAGCGAAAGCAUCUGCCAAAAAUGUUCUCAUUAAUCAAGAACGAAAGUUAGAGGUUCGAAGGCGAUCAGAUACCGCCCUAGUUCUAACCAUAAACGAUGCCAGCUAGCGAUCCGCCGAAGUUCCUCCGAUGACUCGGCGGGCAGCUUCCGGGAAACCAAAGCUUUUGGGUUCCGGGGGAAGUAUGGUUGCAAAGCUGAAACUUAAAGGAAUUGACGGAAGGGCACCACCAGGAGUGGAGCGUGCGGCUUAAUUUGACUCAACACGGGAAACCUCACCAGGCCCAGACACCGGAAGGAUUGACAGAUUGAUAGCUCUUUCUUGAUUCGGUGGGUGGUGGUGCAUGGCCGUUCUUAGUUGGUGGAGCGAUUUGUCUGGUUAAUUCCGAUAACGAACGAGACUCUAGCCUGCUAAAUAGGCGUACCUUAUGGUAUCGCGAAGGCCCCCGGCUUCGGCCGGUGGGUUUUUACUACCAACGUACAAACAAAUCUUCUUAGAGGGACAGGCGG